This 569-nucleotide ribosomal RNA is filed under the name Atropha sp. JM19. Its description in RNAcentral is "eukaryotic LSU rRNA". It matches the Rfam family "Eukaryotic large subunit ribosomal RNA", at positions 420 to 799 of the family's 3401-position model. The record is from RNAcentral. Lineage: Eukaryota; Metazoa; Arthropoda; Insecta; Hymenoptera; Ichneumonidae.
CCUGAGAAACCCAAAAGAUCGAUCGGGGAGAUUCAUCGCAACCGAUUCUGGUACGUGCGCGGCUCGCGAGGUCGCGGGACUCUGUUCCACGAGACGCGUCCACGCAUGGUUUUAUUGCCAGGUGUCGUCGGCGUGCACUUCUCCCCUAGUAGAACGUCGCGACCCGUUGGGCCCGACCGCCCGGCUGCCCCGCGGUACUCGCACGGUAUCGGGCCGCAAAUAUUCGAACUGCGUCCGGCCCGCCGCAAGCGAGGUCAGUGUUUCCCGGAUGCGCGGACCUAGCGCCACCACCGGGCCUGGCCAGCUGUUGGUCGGCGGUGUCCUGGGACUGGCUCGUCGAUUAUGAUACCGGUCGGCGACGCUACUGCUUUGGGUACUUUCAGGACCCGUCUUGAAACACGGACCAAGGAGUCUAACAUGUGCGCGAGUCAUUGGGAGCUCUGAAGCCUGAAGGCGCAAUGAAAGUGAAGGUCGGCCUCGCGCCGACCGAGGGAGGUUGGGCCGCGUCACGAUGCGGUCCCGCACUCCCGGGGCGUCUCGUUCUCAUUGCGAGAAGAGGCGCACCCAGA